Molecule: long non-coding RNA, 466 nt
Organism: Polypterus senegalus (gray bichir)
Lineage: Eukaryota; Metazoa; Chordata; Cladistia; Polypteriformes; Polypteridae
Exons: 3
Source: RefSeq, a predicted model, not a curated record
CACCACUGUGCGUGCGCAGCUCGGAGUUUGCCGCGUGCGCAGAUCGACUCGAGCUUCGGCGCGAAUUGGUGACGGAUUAGGCACAGGAUGUAAGCGGGAGCCAGUGAAACAGAAUAGUAUUAUGUGAACAUGCUUACAAGUCAGUGACACAGGCAGGCAAGAACAACCAACUCCGACAGCACCAGGAUUUCAGGUCCAGCGUUGGUCACCAUAAAUGCCCAUUCCAUCAGAAAGUUUGCUAUCUCCGUUAUUCCCUGAAAACACGAGAUGAAAACUUUUUCUCAGCCAUCACUAAAAACUACAUAGGGUAAGUAACAUAUGAAAGCAGUCCAUCACUUUUGGGUGGUGUCUUCCUUUAAUCAGGUUUGAAAAAGUUAUUUUACAAAAAAAAGGUGCCCAAGUAUCGUAAAAGUUUAUAUAACUAGCCAGAGAAAUAAAAAAAAGAUGAAAUGGCUGUAACAAAAGU